AUACGGAGGGUGCAAGCGUUAUCGGGAUUCAUUGGGUUUAAAGGGUGCGCAGGCGGAAUGAUAAGUCAGUGGUGAAAUCCUACAGCUUAACUGUAGAACUGCCAUUGAUACUGUCAUUCUUGAGUACACUUGAAGUGGGCGGAAUGUAUCAUGUAGCGGUGAAAUGCAUAGAUAUGAUACAGAACUCCGAUAGCGAAGGCAGCUCACUAAAUUGUAACUGACGCUCAGGCACGAAAGCGUGGGGAGCAAACAGGAUUAGAUACCCCUGUAGUCC
Molecule: ribosomal RNA, 274 nt
Filed under: uncultured bacterium
Lineage: Bacteria
Description: partial 16S ribosomal RNA
Rfam family: Bacterial small subunit ribosomal RNA
Source: RNAcentral